This 829-nucleotide long non-coding RNA is filed under the name Homo sapiens (human). RNAcentral's name for it is "HSALNT0360361". Lineage: Eukaryota; Metazoa; Chordata; Mammalia; Primates; Hominidae. The record is from RNAcentral.
GACAAGUUCAACCUCCUCUCUCUCACUUUCUCUUUCUCUCUCUGUCUCUCCCUUCACCUGUCUUUUCCCUGUUCCAUGGGAUGACACAGCAAAAAGACCCCUGCCAGAUGUUAGCCCCUUGAUUUUGGACCUCUCAGCCUUCAGAACUAUGGAGUCUUGCUCUGUCGCCAGGCUGGAGUGCAAUGGUGCAAUCUUGGCUCACUGCAACCUCCGCCUCCCCAGUUCAAGCAAUUCUUCUGCCUCAGCCUCCCGAGUAGCUGAGACUACAGUGGACCAGAGGAGAAGAUAUGGAUGAACUCCUUGGACCCACCCUGUUCCCAGCUCAUCUGGGAGAAUGAAGCUAAUUGGUAAAUCCACUGUUUGAUGCUUGUAAUGAAGACUCAAGGAGUUCUGUCUCUACCAAGUUCCUUGCCCUUAAUGACUCAAGAAUUAAUUUUAUCUUUUCCUCUCAAAACCUUGAAAGAAAUGCUUGAGUCCUUGUAACCUGUAAAAUAAAUGUUGUUACUGAAGGGAAAAGCAAAUUCCCUGGUUGCAUUGACUGCAUGGAAUAUUAUGGUAAGAUUUGCUACAAUGCAUUUCUCUCCUCUUUCUGCCAUUUUGAAAGCAGCCCAACGUGAAAACUUGCUGAGAUGCUAACCAAUGUCUCUACCCUUGGCUGCAACAAGAAGAUCACUGGCCAGGCACAGCCCCCUCUAGGAGAUGGAUCUUAGGCAAAACCGUGAAUGGUGCUAUCACAAAGCACAGCCCAUCCUGAUUCCUGUCUGCCUCUUCAUGGCCAUUUGUUGACAUCUCCAUAGUUGUGCUGGAUUGGACCUGGAGUGAUUCAUCA